RNAcentral lists this ribosomal RNA (110 nucleotides) under Vicugna pacos (alpaca). The record is from RNAcentral. Lineage: Eukaryota; Metazoa; Chordata; Mammalia; Artiodactyla; Camelidae.
UGUCUACGGCCAUACCACUCUGGACACACCUGAUCUCAGAAGCUGAGCAGGGUCAGGCCUGUCUAGUACUUGGAUGGAAAACCACCUGGUAAUACCAGGUGUUGUAACAG